This 86-nucleotide transfer RNA is filed under the name Azonexus sp. RNAcentral describes it as "tRNA-Leu". It matches the Rfam family "tRNA". Rfam says of the family: Transfer RNA (tRNA) molecules are approximately 80 nucleotides in length. Their secondary structure includes four short double-helical elements and three loops (D, anti-codon, and T loops). The record is from RNAcentral. Lineage: Bacteria; Pseudomonadati; Pseudomonadota; Betaproteobacteria; Rhodocyclales; Azonexaceae. RNAcentral also lists the same sequence under 2 other names.
GCCCGGGUGGUGAAAUUGGUAGACACAAGAGACUUAAAAUCUCUCGGCCUUUGGCUGUACGGGUUCGACCCCCGUCCCGGGCACCA